RNAcentral lists this ribosomal RNA (439 nucleotides) under uncultured bacterium. Its description in RNAcentral is "partial 16S ribosomal RNA". It matches the Rfam family "Bacterial small subunit ribosomal RNA", at positions 338 to 795 of the family's 1533-position model. The record is from RNAcentral.
UCUACGGGUGGCAGCAGUGGGGAAUAUUGCACAAUGGGCGAAAGCCUGAUGCAGCAACGCCGCGUGAGCGAUGAAGGCCUUCGGGUCGUAAAGCUCUGUCCUCAGGGAAGAUAAUGACGGUACUUGCGGAGGAAGCCGCGGCUAACUACGUGCCAGCAGCCGCGGUAAUACGUAGGGGGCUGGCGUUAUCCGGAAUUACUGGGCGAAAAGGGGGCGCUGGUGGUUUCUUAAGUCAGAGGUGAAAGGCUGCGGCUCAACCGUAGUAAGCCUUGGAAAUUGGGGAACUUGAGUGCAGGAGAGGAGAGUGGAAUUCCUAGUGUAGCGGUGAAAUGCGUAGAUAUUAGGAGGAACACCAGUGGCGAAGGCGGCUCUCUGGACUGUAACUGACGCUGAGGCACGAAAGCGUGGGGAGCAAACAGGAUUAGAUACCCUAGUAGUC